AAUAAGAUGCCUGAUUAAAGGAUUAUUUUGAUAGAAUAAAUUAUGUAUAAAUUUUUACUCUUAUUG
Molecule: transfer RNA, 66 nt
Filed under: Drabescus ineffectus
Lineage: Eukaryota; Metazoa; Arthropoda; Insecta; Hemiptera; Cicadellidae
Description: tRNA-Ile
Source: RNAcentral